GAUGAACGCUGGCGGCGUGCCUAACACAUGCAAGUCGAACGGAAAGGCCCUGCUGUUGUGGGGUGCUCGAGUGCCGAACGGGUGAGUGACACGCGAGUAACCUGCCCUUGACUUAGGGGUAACAUAAGGGGACUGGGGCUCUUAAAGGGUAGGAGCUCAUGCCGCACGGUGGGGGAUGGAAAGUUUCGGCGGUGGGGAAUGGACUCGCGGUAUAUCAGCUUGUAGGUGGGGUAGUGGCUUACCACGGCUUUGAAGGGUACCCGGCCUGGGAGGGUGACCGGCCACAUUGGGACUGAGAUACGGCCCAGACUCCUACGGGACGCAACGGUGGGGAGUAUUACACAGCAAGCUGAAGCCAGAUGCAGCGACGCCGCGUGCGGGAAGACGGCCUUCGGGUUGUAAACCGCUGUCGCCUGAGACGAGGCGUUAGUGACGGUAAUUGAUAAAGAAGCACCGGCUAACUACGUG
This 468-nucleotide ribosomal RNA is filed under the name uncultured bacterium. RNAcentral's name for it is "partial 16S ribosomal RNA". It matches the Rfam family "Bacterial small subunit ribosomal RNA", at positions 28 to 507 of the family's 1533-position model. The record is from RNAcentral.